CUCUGCUGCUACAAAAAUGCCAUCCAGUUAGUCAUUGAAUACACGUCUGAUAAUCAGAUGAUUCACUCCCUCUUAUUAGUGAUAGGAAACAUCUUUAUGUGGAGGAAUUUUUUUUUUUUUUUGGAAGUUAAAGAAGUCUGAGUCCCUGUUUGCUUGAUUUCCCAGUGAACUCAGAUGUUCAUGUUCUGUACUUACGACAAAAGAGUACCUUACACUGUGCAUGGCCCCAUCAGCGCCUAUUUUUUUUUUUUUUUUUUUGAUAAACAACGCGCCACAUUUUAAUUUCUGGGACUCCGGAAGCCCCUCCUAGAGGGAGGGGGGUGGGACUAACGGAACCAAGAUCCAUCGGCCAUCGCGUUCUCUCGUGCGAGCGAGCCUCGGCCCGGCGAACCACCUUCUUUCAUCUCCUCCUCUUUUAUCUUCCAAGCCCUUGACAGCUCCACCACCUCUCGCCGGCGGCCAGCAUCUCUUCUUCUCCUCUGCCCCUUAAAAGCCUUGCAACAGGACAUUUUCAAGCUCUGAGAAGGACCGGAGGGGAAGAGGAAAAGGAGGGAUUUUUAGUUUUAUAUUUACUCUUCCUGAUGACGAGUUCGGUUCUAUCUGAAUGCUAUGGUCCAGAUCCAGGCUCCAGCCGCGCGGUUGAGCCUCCGCUGGUCCUGCCACGUGGCAAUCGCAUAUUCUUAUGGAUGACGGUGGGGACAAAGGGAGGCGUUCGCCACUUCGAAGAUAGCGGGGCUCCGUUAGCUGCUCCUUAUGGAUGCUUCGAAAUGCCCGCAUCAGCUUAUGUGACAAAAU
Molecule: long non-coding RNA, 795 nt
Filed under: Elaeis guineensis (African oil palm)
Lineage: Eukaryota; Viridiplantae; Streptophyta; Magnoliopsida; Arecales; Arecaceae
Description: long non-coding RNA (EGUI_LNC000835)
Source: RNAcentral